RNAcentral lists this long non-coding RNA (621 nucleotides) under Bos taurus (domestic cattle). RNAcentral describes it as "long non-coding RNA NONBTAT026589". Lineage: Eukaryota; Metazoa; Chordata; Mammalia; Artiodactyla; Bovidae. The record is from RNAcentral.
AAACCAAGUAAAUUGAGAUCAUUCUCUAUCAGUUUAAUUUAUGUUUUAUAGUUAGUUUAGCAUUCUGAUUUGAUUGUCUUAGUAAUGUGAAUUGCCUACAGCUGCUGAUGAUACAGCUUUAAUUCUGUUUUAAAGGUCAUGUAAACAUGUGCCUGUAACAUAAGGAAUGCAAGUUCAAUUCCCUUUUAAUGUUUCCUCACAUUUACUACACAGCCUUCACAUAGAAAAUUAGCAGGAUUUAAUGUAAAACUAUCUUAAUGUUAUGAUUUCAUUAAAAUCCUUUUUCAAUAUUUUACUUUUCCUUUUGCAGGGCAAAGAAGUCUUCCUCUGCUUUGCAGUGCAUAGCUUAUGCAACAUACAUUACUCAUACUGGAGGCAUAAAAAUAUUUCUGUCAAGAUUUUUCACUUUUCCAGUGCUUUUUACUAAUAAAGAACUGAGAAUUUCAUUUCUGUCUCUCUGUAGCUUCGGGUAAAAAGGACACAAAGCAAACUCGAUCAUCUAACCACAUUUUAGAUUGCAGUGGAGAGAAUGAGAAUAUUGUGCACGUGUUUAGAAGCCUCUAGUCAAAGGCUUUUUUAUAAUCUGAACAUUUGAUCAAAACUGAACUGUGGAAAGCAUAU